This 433-nucleotide ribosomal RNA is filed under the name uncultured bacterium. RNAcentral's name for it is "partial 16S ribosomal RNA". It matches the Rfam family "Bacterial small subunit ribosomal RNA", at positions 29 to 507 of the family's 1533-position model. The record is from RNAcentral.
AACGAACGCUGGCGGCAUGCCUAACACAUGCAAGUCGAACGAGACCUUCGGGUCUAGUGGCGCACGGGUGCGUAACGCGUGGGAACCUGCCCUUAGGUUCGGAAUAACUCCCCGAAAGGGGUGCUAAUACCGGAUAAUGUCUUCGGACCAAAGAUUUAUCGCCUUUGGAUGGGCCCGCGUUGGAUUAGCUAGUUGGUAGGGUAAAAGCCUACCAAGGCGACGGUCCAUAGCUGGUCUGAGAGGAUGAUCAGCCACACUGGGACUGAGACACGGCCCAGACUCCUACGGGAGGCAGCAGUGGGGAAUAUUGGACAAUGGGCGAAAGACUGAUCCAGCAAUGCCGCGUGAGUGAUGAAGGCCUUAGGAUUGUAAAGCUCUUUUACCCGGGAUGAUAAUGACAGUACCGGGAGAAUAAGCUCCGGCUAACUCCGUG